CGGGGUGAGUAAUGUCUGGGAAACUGCCUGAUGAGGGGGAGUAACUACUGGAAACGGUAGCUAAUACCGCAUAACGUCGCAAGACCAAAGUGGGGGACCUUCGGGCCUCAUGCCAUCAGAUGUGCCCAGAUGGGAUUAGCUAGUAGGUGGGGUAACGGCCCACCUAGGCGACGAUCCCUAGCUGGUCUGAGAGGAUGACCAGCCACACUGGAACUGAGACACGGUCCAG
This 229-nucleotide ribosomal RNA is filed under the name uncultured bacterium. Its description in RNAcentral is "partial 16S ribosomal RNA". It matches the Rfam family "Bacterial small subunit ribosomal RNA", at positions 104 to 334 of the family's 1533-position model. The record is from RNAcentral.